AUGGCCGACAUAGAGCACGCCGUGGCUAGGGCGGAUCCUGGCUUCGCCAUGAGGGAUUUCAUUGUCAACCUCAUCAACGUUCACGUCGUAGGCGAGGACGCCGUGGUGGCGGAGCCACAGGAGCAUAGCAGGUGGAUCCUCAUGUGCCUUCUAUUUGCCGGCGGCGCCGUCACGAUGCUCGCCUUCUAUUACCUGAUGAUCAAUGACUACAGCUUCUUCACGGUCUGUGUUCCAGUCGGUUUUGUUUCAGCUGGUAUUAUACUCAUGUCUAUGACUGCCGUCCGAGAUUGCCAAGAUGGGUUCCAACAUGAGGAUAAUAAAUUCUUAGAUGCCAUGCUCCAGUUAUAG
This 348-nucleotide ribosomal RNA is filed under the name Triticum aestivum (bread wheat). RNAcentral describes it as "partial small subunit ribosomal RNA". The record is from RNAcentral. Lineage: Eukaryota; Viridiplantae; Streptophyta; Magnoliopsida; Poales; Poaceae.